GGGUGCGAUCAUAUCAGCGUUAAUGCGCUGGAUCCCCUCAUAACUCUGCAGUUAAGCACGCUUGGGCUAGAGUAGUACUGGGAUGGGUGACCUCCCGGGAAGUCCUAGUGUUGCAACCU
Molecule: non-coding RNA, 119 nt
Organism: Picea glauca (white spruce)
Lineage: Eukaryota; Viridiplantae; Streptophyta; Pinopsida; Pinales; Pinaceae
Source: Rfam